RNAcentral lists this transfer RNA (72 nucleotides) under Ovis aries (sheep). It matches the Rfam family "tRNA". From Rfam's summary of the family: Transfer RNA (tRNA) molecules are approximately 80 nucleotides in length. Their secondary structure includes four short double-helical elements and three loops (D, anti-codon, and T loops). Lineage: Eukaryota; Metazoa; Chordata; Mammalia; Artiodactyla; Bovidae. The record is from Rfam by way of RNAcentral.
UUCUGUGUAGCUCAGUUGGUAAAGCAUCUACCUGCAAUGCAGGAAACCUGGGUUCAAUUCCUGGGUCGGGAA